AUUGAACGCUGGCGGCAUGCCUUACACAUGCAAGUCGAACGGUAACAGGUUAAGCUGACGAGUGGCGAACGGGUGAGUAAUGUAUCGGAACGUGCCCAGUCGUGGGGGAUAACGUAGCGAAAGCUACGCUAAUACCGCAUACGAUCUACGGAUGAAAGCGGGGGAUCGCAAGAGCUCGCGCGAUUGGAGCGGCCGAUAUCAGGUUAGGUUGUUGGUGAGGUAAAAUCCCACCAAGCCUGCGAUCGGUAGCUGGUCUGAGAGGACGAGUAGCCACACUGGAACUGAGACACGGUCCAGACUCCUACGUGAGGCAGCAGUGGGAAAUUUUGGACAGUGGACGCAAGUCUGAUCCAGCAAUGCCGCGUGCAGGACGAAGGCCUUCGGGUUGUAAACUGCUUAUGUACGGAACGAAACGGUGAGCUCUAAUACAGUUUGCUAAUGACGGUACCGUAAGAAGAAGCACCGGCUAACUACGUGCCAGCCGCCGCCGUAA
RNAcentral lists this ribosomal RNA (493 nucleotides) under uncultured bacterium. Its description in RNAcentral is "partial 16S ribosomal RNA". It matches the Rfam family "Bacterial small subunit ribosomal RNA", at positions 30 to 523 of the family's 1533-position model. The record is from RNAcentral.